UACGUAGGGGGCUAGCGUUGUCCGGAAUCAUUGGGCGUAAAGCGCGUGUAGGCGGUCCGGUAAGUCCGCUGUGAAAGUCGGGGGCUCAACCCUCGGAUGCCGGUGGAUACUGUCGGGCUUGAGUACGGAAGAGGCGAGUGGAAUUCCUGGUGUAGCGGUGAAAUGCGCAGAUAGUCAGGAGGAACACCAAUUGCGAAGGCAGCUCGCUGGGACGUUACUGACGCUGAGACGCGAAGCGUGGGAGCAAACAGG
RNAcentral lists this ribosomal RNA (252 nucleotides) under uncultured bacterium. Its description in RNAcentral is "partial 16S ribosomal RNA". It matches the Rfam family "Bacterial small subunit ribosomal RNA", at positions 524 to 776 of the family's 1533-position model. The record is from RNAcentral.